Molecule: RNase P RNA, 366 nt
Filed under: Candidatus Moranbacteria bacterium RIFCSPHIGHO2_01_FULL_55_24
Lineage: Bacteria; Candidatus Moraniibacteriota
Description: RNase P RNA component class A
Rfam family: Bacterial RNase P class A
About the family: Ribonuclease P (RNase P) is a ubiquitous endoribonuclease, found in archaea, bacteria and eukarya as well as chloroplasts and mitochondria. Its best characterised activity is the generation of mature 5'-ends of tRNAs by cleaving the 5'-leader elements of precursor-tRNAs.
Source: RNAcentral
AAAACAGAUCGGAUUGUCGCGCUCUGGCGAAAGCCAGAGUGAGGAAAGUCCGGACACUCGCCUCCUUUCGGAGGCAGCAGGGUAGCGGGUAAUCCCCGUCUAAGGUGACUUACGAGGUGCGAACAGAGACGCCUUCUCCCGAAAGGGAGGGGCACCCGGUUUCGAUCGGGUGAGCUCCUAGAGCGAUCUAGGAGGUGAAACGGCUAAAUCCUUACCCGAGUGCAAGGCCGUGCCUGUCUCUUCUUGGAGCUCAAGAAGGGACGGGAGUUGCCGCAAAGACCCGCACUUGGCAACAAGCGGGCAAGAGAGAUGACGAUCUCCGCCGAUAAGGCGGAACAGAAUCCGGCUUAUAGAUCUGUUUUGGAA